This is a non-coding RNA of Sus scrofa (pig), 8386 nucleotides long. The record is from RefSeq and is a predicted model, not a curated record. NCBI's taxonomy places the organism in Eukaryota, Metazoa, Chordata, Mammalia, Artiodactyla, Suidae.
GGGCCCGGCAGAGACUAACAAAACCAGGCAAGGCUGCACCCAGGGGCCCGGGGCUCUGGAAAACAAAUCUGGAAACAUGAUCCCACACGUUCUGCCCUGAAGACAUUAAGCCCAGAGACCCAGAGGGACCCACUGCGGAGCGGAGGCCUGAGCAGGACUCGCAGAGGCUCUGCCGUUCCGGUGAAAUCAAAACAGCUUGAGCCAAAAUAGCUCGUGAAGAGAUAAGGGAUUAAACCGGGCUCGGAACCACAUCAGGAUGAGGGCCUAACACUCCUGAGGUCCCCACGGAGGAAGGGUUUUUCAGCUUAGGAAUGAGCUGUGAAAAGCUGAAUUCCACUCUGGGGGCGGGGGGCUGUCUCUGUCAAAGCCUAAAAAAAUUCUCCCACAGGCCAUUUGGGGAAAAGGUAUGUGAUCUGGUUUCUUCUCCUUCAGGGCUGGCAACACGAAGCGGAACCCACACACCCCCUCGUUCAUGAGCGCACCCCCAAAAUGCCAGGGAGUUGUCAGGUCAGGGGAGGUCUGAAUUCGCUGAUAUGGUGAGUGCUUCCUGGAAUUCAGAAAGUAAACAUGAACCAGGGGUAUUUUUGUGGUGUUUUUCCAUCUAGUGGUAAAGUUUUUUUCAUCUUGAAUUGGAUUCCAAUUGCUCCCUGGGCAGUUUUGAAAAAAAAAAAAAUUAAAAAUGAAGCAGGGGAGGUUUCAGGCAGCUCUAAGUAAUAGAGGUGAAGAUACCAUCAGGAAGGAAGCUGUGUGUGUUGGGGGGGCAGGUCCCUGGGUGCCCAGAGGAUGCACGGGUCACGAAUCAGGGCAGGGGCACUGGCGUUUUAUGCUGAACAUUCAAAAAGUUGCUUCCUGGAGCACCAUGGGCUCUCACCAAGAUUCCCCAUCCAGGCGGUCAGAGAAACAAUCGGAGCCCCCAGCUGAAUUUCUCCAAUUUUUCCAAAUGUCUUUCAGGUGAGGAAGCAAAUUUUAAUCCUACGCAGAGGGCAAGGCCUUUGGGGGUUGGUCAGAAUCCAGAAAUGGCGAGAGAGAUCCUCUGAGGCUCAGCCUCCAUCCCUAUAACAUGGACUCAUGUUCAUAUUUAAACCUGAGCCGGGUCCUCUGGCUUUUGCGUUCCCCAGCAUCAGGAAUGGUGCUACAGGACACUGCAUUAUUAUUUGGGAGGACUUGGUGGCCUCUGGCUUUUUAAAACCAGGGAGGUAAGCCCUUGAAAAAAAAAAAAAAAAGAAGAAGGAAAUGAGUACUAGACUUGGAUCCCUGAGCCCUGGGAAAUGGGCUGAACACUGGGGAGGCAGAUGCUGCUCUCAGCCUCUCAUCUUCUUAGGGUUUCCACCAAAGCACAUGGGAGCCAAAACUCUGUCUGCUCCCCCUAAACCGAAAUGAGGCAAGGACAUCAAAGAUCCAUUCCUAAAAGUUUGCCUGUGAUGGUGUCAGCUUCCACACACGAGGCUGCCUCCGGAACCCACCUUGGAGAGCCACACUCCCAGCUGUGCUGGUUUCCUCCUAUGGGGCAUGGCGGUUUCUUCUGUCUCUGUCCUAGGUGAGUGUUGUCCUUGUCACCGAGGGGUUGACACAGAGGACUAAGACAUGCGACUUCCUACCCUUCCUUCAUCCUCUGUCUAAACAUCACCCAGGAGAUUUGGACUUUGUAAGUACCGUCCUUCUGAUAAUGCGCAGGGCUCCUCUGUUGGUGUGUGGAUAAUCGAACAGCAAUCCAAAUGACCAGUUAGUGUGACUCAGUUGGGAAGACAGAGGAGUAGAAAAUCUAGGACAGACUAGAAAAAUUGCAUGAGAGGGUUGGUAGCCACACCAGAUGAAAUUAAAUAAAAGAUAAACUCUUACAGUUUAACGUCUUUGCACAGCAGAAGUUCGUUGCCAUCUCCUGGGCAGUUUGAGGCAGGUAUUUGAGUGACGUCACGGUGUGGCAGUCUGGACACUUGGCUCCUCCCAUCUUGUGGUCCAGCUGUCCCAGGGCCUUGGGCAAAGAGGGGGUGUGCACAGGCCUUCCAUAGUUCCCUCGGAUUGGAAGCGACACACAUCUUUUCCACUCGCAUUCCUGUUCAGGUCUUCAGUGAUGCAUAGCACAUCGCUCCAAACUUAGCGGCUUACGGCAAUGACAACAUUCGCUUUGCCCCUGAACUUGCAGUUUGGACAGGGCUUAGUGGGGACAGCUUGUUUCUAAUCCAUUUGAUGUCUCCUGGGAUGGCCUGAAGGCUGAUAGCUGGAGCUGUUAGCCAACUUGCCCCCUCCAUGGAAGGCUGGCGUCUGCCGGUGCAUCAGCUGUGGCCGUAGCCAGAACUUCCACUCUUGGACUUCCCAGGGGGCUGCCUGGGUUCCAGAGUGAGUGUCCCAGGAAGACUGGGCAGAAGCUGUGUUGCCAUUUAUGACGUGGCUUGAUAAACCUCGCAGGUCCAGUCAGGUGAAAGGGAGCAGCGCAGACCCCACUGCUUGAAGCAGGACGGGAGCAUAACGUAAGAUGUGUGACCUGGGCUCUCUUGGUGUGGCUGUCUUUAGACAAUUCCAGCGGUGAAAGCCAGUCUCAUGGGGCCAUCGAGAUGCCAGACGAGCUUGGGAAAUAUAGUCAUAGCUGUGCAGCUGCUUCAAAGUGGCAGUGACAGCAGGAAAGGCCGUUCGGGUUGUAGCGAGCAAGCUUGGCCACAGACAAUAGGGAGAUUUUUCAUGUCACGAAUGGGUCCACGGUCAUGCCCACGGGUCAGGUCGAAUGGGGACGUGUGCAGAGACACUUUUUGGGGCAUUGGCAGAAAAAGUCUUGCUGUGAGCAUCUGAGGUUCUGCUUUGAGGGUAAGUGUGACCAUGAGGUGCCCUGACACCCUCCACCUCCAGUGGGACCAGACAGGCCAGGCAGACCCUGGCUCAGCAGAGCAGCUGCAGAAGUCCGGCAAGUGGACACUUGGUCACAGGCUCUGCCCCUGCCUGCGGACACAUCCUCUGGCCCUUUAUUCAUAGAGCUUCUCUGAUUUCCAGUAGAAGUAAAGCAUCGAAGUGAUGAAAGGAAGGCUCUAGAACAUUCAUUCAUCCAUAUAGUUAACACUUUUAAUGAGCUCCUACUAUGUGCCAGGCUCUGUGCUAAGCCCAGGAGAAAGUGUGAACUAGACCCACAGGCGGCAGGGGGGACCCCAGGGCGGGAUUUGUGCCCGGUUUCAGCUGGCGUCUGGCGUGAUUGUGCAGUGCUCAGAAAGACAGGUGGGCGGGUCACAGCGGGUCUGGUGACUUCUGGAGCAGGCUGGUAGCGGGUCAAUUAACGUAAUUUAACUGCCUAGCCCGUAAACGACAUGGUCCCCGCGUCAGACAUGUAAAUCAGCACUGACAGAUGACACGAUAGGGAUAGCCUUGCCGUGCACGUAUCUGGGGGCAAUUAAUUGUAACGGUCUGGAAGGGCAUUUCUGCCUUGAAAUCAGGAGGCAGCUGAAGACAUUCUGUGUGUACUGCUGCCACUAAUCUGCAUUUAAUUGUCAUCGGCAUUCAUUUAGGGUCCUGGCAGCAGAGCUGCCCUGCGUGUCAGCCAGAGUCCUCAGCAGAUCAUGAAGUUACCCUCAGGAGCAUCUCAGGGAUGCCGGCGGCGUCUGUAACAAGUGGCGUUUGGCAUCCACGAAGCGUCCCGACUCAGAAACGACACAAACCAUGAAAGAACUGUCAAAAUUGGGAAUGAAGAAAAUCGCCAGGCGCCUCUGGAUAAGGCUUCUCCCCCACUCGCUCUUGCAAAAGAAAUCGCAGCUCCUUUUUUAUCCUCCCUUUCAGCUGGAGCGGUCGCGCUAAAGUAUGUUUGCUAAAUUGGCAGGGAAUGAGUGGUAUUUAACAAAGAACACAUCAAAUGUGGGACAACUUCAUAGGAAGGGCUUAGCAGGAAAAAUAAAGACGACAAGAGCCCAGGCCCUGGCUGGUUUUGAUGCCUGUCAGGGGACAAGGCUUCAGUGGCCAUUGAGGGAGAUGAAUUGUUUUUUCUUUUUUUUUUUUUCAGGAAGCUGAAGCCACAGUGCAGGACGUGCCUCAUUUGACUAUAUAAGAAGUGGCCAUAAAAUCCAAAACUUAAGCAAUCAUCAAAAGCAGGGCGUCUGCAUUUCAAUAGCGUGCUGUCCCUUUAUCAGUAUUUACUGUGGGUGGCUCCAGACUUAAAUGGACUGUCGUUACUCAAAGUAUUCUGGAAUUCCUCUUCAGAGACUGAAGCACAUUCUCCUUGAGAAUUUUAGCUCUAAAAUCAUUUAGAGACAAAUCUAGGGAGUAAGAUAGAUUUGCAUGCUGAGUCUGAUAUAGAUGUGUGUGUGUGUGUGUGUGUGUGUGUGUGUGUGGGCAUGAAAGAGGUGUGCCAUAAAGCAGUGAGAAUGGUUUUCUUAUGUGGAAUUUAAGCCAGCUCUGAGGACCUUUCUUGAGGAGUGCUGCUCCCCUUGUUUGAAAGACGCUGGCAUUGCUCACACACGUCUGUGGCCUACUGUCUCCCAUGCUUGUUUGGCUGUGGGAUCCUUUCUUUAUAGGUCUUUGUUAGCAGCCCAUGUAACCACUGGUCCUCAAAAUGUCCUUUGGGAAAUGCUGAACUAUAGCAAUCACGAAGAAAAAGGACACACAGGAAUGCUCAGGAAGAUAGAAGGGACUUCUGGGGAGAAAUGGUAAAUUGAUCCCAGGAAUCUCUUUUUUCUCUCCCCUGCGCCAGUGAAGAAUAAAAAUGACCUAAACUCUCAAAGGCAGGAGAAGAUCAUAGUGGGCAAAGGAUUCCAGUAGAUUCCUGGGAAAUGAGAAGCCCAUGAAUGUGGCAAUGACUCAGGAAGGAGGAGGAAGCUAAAACUCAGAUUCCCGACAGGAGGGGCCUUGAAAGGAACCCAGGAAAUGCUGGUUGCGUGGACAAAUGAAUCAAUACAUCCCGUAAAUUUAUUAGACGAGUGGACCUUAGGAGAGAGAAACUCCCCCCCGCCAAAAAAAAAAACCCCACCAUCUGGGUCAGCUCUUCUUAAGCCUUUGUGUGCCCAAGAUGGGAAUUUGCAUUUUUGAAAACAAGUUCUCAAGAGGGGCCACACCUAGAUGCACAGCUGCCGACACCACACGUUCCUUCCUAUCCGUGAAGGGUUGGAGUGGCCCUUUCUACAGAAAAAGGAACUUGAUGAUGCUGGUAACAAACAACUUGUCAACAUGCAGAGGGUAGAACUGCUUCGAUACAGUGAGGCCCCGGCAGUGCCCCAAGUCCCCUCUCUCUUCCCCCAAACCCAUCCCCUAGGACUGGCUUUCAUAGGCAUUUAUUAGGCACUGACUCUGCACCAGGCAUUGUGCACAAAAGGUGCAAAAGGAGUUUCAGUCCUAAAAGCUUCUCCUGCACCUGCACAUCCUUUGGGCAAAGAUGUCACCGUGUCCCCAGUGAAUCAGGUGUGUGCGAAGUAAGCAGUGGUGACCAGGUGGAGGCUGCAAAGGCCUGAACCUGGGGAAACGGCUUUUGUUCAUUGGCAGCCAUUUCUCGCAGCCUAGAUGCUGAGAAACUUUGCUAUCUGAUUUGCUUUGGUGGCAAUGGACAGCCACUCGUGCCUGAAGGCUCCAAGCCUGUGGGUCACUUUGACACAGGGAAGCAGCCUUGGUGUCCAAAUCGGGUGAUAAGGCCUUUGAAAAUGACAUUCCACAGUUAUCUCAACUCGGCAGUUCCCAAGGAGACAGGACCCUGAGUCCAUUUCUUAGCAGUGCUGGUAAUCAGACAGGGAUGUUCCCAGUACAACCUAAAGAAAACAAGUUUCUGGGGGGACCUUUCCGAGGUCACAGAGGGUGCCGUCUGGAACGAUGGGCAACCUCUCUCCAUGGAACGAUUACGGCUUUUCUUUCCUAAUGACAUUGUUCCCAAUGACUCCCUCAGCUGCACUUCAUCCUUCCUCCCCGAGUAAUGAUGGCUGCUCUCCUGGUUUCUAAACUGCCUGCAGCAUGGCAGCCACCGAUGCAGAGCGGUUCUGUCUUCCCCAGUUCCUCUUAAAAAUCAUCCAACAUCAGCUCCAGCUCCCUCUUGAUAAGCUGCCCCCAGCUCCUGUGGAGUUCCAUCACCCGUGGCUUUAUAAACCUAAAUUUGUGGCUUUAUAAACCUAAAUUUGUUUGGUGGCAAGUGUGUCCCUGAUAGUCUUUAUCUGAUGGGCUUUGUCAAAGAGCAAGAUUUGACAAAAAUGAGAUUCUUUCCUUCCCCAGGAUGCGCUGGUAAAUGUUUUACAGAACCUUGGAAAGGAAAAGGAAAAAGAGCUGAUGUGCAGUGUUUGCCCAUUUGUGUGGAGUAAAUAUUCCACUUUGGUCAAUUUCAAGCAACUGCUAUGACUUCACUGCCCACAGAGUUGGGGAGAGAUGUACAUGAUCAGUUUUUUUUUUUUUUUGCGGGGGUCGGGGGCGACGUUCUGUUUCGGAGCUUCCAGCACAUCUCUGCCCCCUUCUCACCCAUCUUCCUGAAGCAACAUUUUUGUGCUCAUUGAAUUUUCCAGAAUUUGCUUCUGCAUGGGAAUAGCUUAUCAUCCCCCCUUUCAUUGUGUGAGGAAUCUGGCACCUGGCUUAUUUAUAAGCAAGUUCUGAGGCAAGUCGUGACUAUAAUAGAAACUCAUUGACAGAGAACUUGUAUAGGAAAGUGGGCAAAUUGCAAAGAACACUGGGUUUUAGAGACCAGUAAAUACACAUUCUUGUGUCACAGUCAGUUGCUUUGCUGAAGGUGGCUUCCUGACCCAGGCAGAGGGUAAAUGAUUUUGUCCUAGAGGAGAGAAACACCGCCUCUUACAGCAACAUCAGCUUAUCUUACUUUGGCCUGGGCUUAAUCUGCCAAAGCUACGUAAGACCUGCCUUUUUUUUUUUUUUUUUUUUUUUUAAAUCCUACAAAGAAAAUGAUCAUUGUGGAAUACCCACGAAGUAAUUAUAGAUAAUGGCCCACGAUCUGGCAGCUUACAAGUUCAGCCACUUGGCUGAGAAAUGAAUUCCCUAUCUGCCACUACAAGACCUCAUUAUGUGCUAUACUGGUGAAUUGAUAAUGAAAAGACUUAAAAAGUGUCUGAUAGCAAAAGAAGCUCCUUUUUUAGCCUGACUGGCCUUUAGAGCAGGGCUCUAGGGAACAGAUGACUGAACUCAAUGCAAAUUUCAAACUAGAUUACCAGUAGCUUCUUAUCAUUCUCUUGGAAUGCUGGGAACGUGGGAACUGUGAAUAGCCCACCACGAUGGAAAUACCGUGGUUAAAGGAAAAAAAAGAGAGCCUUUCAAUUUGACGAAGAGAAAGAAAAUGAUGUAGGGGAGGCUGAGAAGAUUGAUAUUAUUUUUCUAAGAAGGCAUAAGUCCCUUUGACAAGACUACAAAGAAACCAGAUCUCACUUUAAGUCAGUACUUGGCUCAACAGAUUCAUGAAGUAUCUUUGUUGUGCUGAGGAUGCCGAAAUGAAGCUCACUGUCUGCUACGGGGUGUCACCACUGCCACAGAAGCCUUAAAGUUCCCUGGACUCGGAGGAGGGGAGCAAUCUCCUGGGAAGUUGCUGGAAAGUUAGUACCAUGUACUGACCCUGUUCACUCCACUGAUGCAAAGGACCAUUUGCCUCGUCGGCACCCACGAGGGGAACUUUAAACUGUGUGCCUAUUGUGAUACCUGUGUUUCCCAAAGUCUCUGAACUGCAAGAUGCUUUUACUGAAAAUCAGAUGGUGACAUUCUGGAAGAGUCACUUCUUGCCUGCCCCUAUCCUACCGGGGGUGGGAAGUGGAGAAGCAGACAGAGAUGUGAACUGAGGUUGGGCACCUGCCAUCAGCCUCUACAUGGACUAAAUCAUGAGCUAUUGCAGCAGAGCUCAGGGUGGAGACCAGGGGUGAGGCACUCUGUGCUCUGGGAAAACUGGAAGAACAGGUCUUCAGAUAGAUAUUUUUAGGAGAAGAGUUGAUGAGCCCAAUUCUUGCAUCUCCUUACAUCUAGAAAAACACCCAAAUCCUUCAUGAUGACCCAUGGCUGAGACUAAUAGUAACUUUCAGGAGACCAGCAGCAAAUUUGGUAAAAUACAUUCCUGGCUGCAGGUACCUCCCCCUUCACCUUUAUCACUUAUAUCUGGAUAUUCUCCCUUUCCUCUUUGGGGUGGUAUUUCAGAGCUGUCUGAAAUACUGCCCCCUGGCUGUAGUCAAGUGGAUGAAACAAAAGAUGUCGCAGUCAUCUGUGAAGACAGUCACUCCCAAGGGUGGGCUGGUGAGCCCUGAAGGAACUUGGGAAAGGACUAAAGAAGACUGGCCCUCAGCUGAGGUGCAUAUCCAAGGAGUGAUUCCAGUAAGCCUAGACCUUAACAUCUUCCCAGGGAAACUGGUUUUCUGUAAAUCAGGUUUUCUAUAUAUCUUUUGUUCCUACUACCUUCUCUUCGUUGCAAAAACUCAUAUAUCCUAGUACCCCCCUCCACCUCCUUGGACAGUUUCUC